CGCUAGACAUCAAUGAGAAGAACCCCACUGAUUCGGGAGGAAAUCGGAAAACUGAAAAAGUCCAGUUUCCAUUUAGAUCUGGGGUGCUGUGAUUUUCUCCCCCAGGGCUCUCAGCCUCGUAUCCGGGAUCAUCCUGUCCCUGGAGCAGGGAGCCCGGCACUCAGGGCAGCUGGGUCCCCAGGCCGAGAUCCCGCGCCAGUGAGCCACGAGGCAGCCCUGGCAGAAGUUGUGGCCGCACUCGAUCGAAAUGGGAUCAUCCAAGACAUCCAGGCAGAUGGAGCAGGUGAUGUCCUCCCGGAGUCGCUGCAUCUCUCCAGACCCGCUGAGUGGGGGGAACCUACUGGGUCAGGACCUGGCACCCGGAGCAGUAGGGCUCUGCUGCAGGACGGCUGAUCUCUAGCCCAGGUGUGACCCUUCCUGGCAGCAGGAGUCUGGGGAGGAGCGGGAGAACAUGGGAAUAUUUCUGUGAACAAGCUGCGUGACUCAG
Molecule: long non-coding RNA, 487 nt
Organism: Emys orbicularis (European pond turtle)
Lineage: Eukaryota; Metazoa; Chordata; Testudines; Emydidae
Exons: 2
Source: RefSeq, a predicted model, not a curated record